GCUUUCCUGUGGCUCAGUUGGUAGAGCAUUGCGCAAACAACGCCAAUGUCAUGGGUUUAAAUCCCAGGGAAAGCA
Non-coding RNA from Danionella cerebrum, 75 nucleotides. NCBI's taxonomy places the organism in Eukaryota, Metazoa, Chordata, Actinopteri, Cypriniformes, Danionidae. The record is from the annotation of a GenBank genome assembly.